UGGGGAAUUUUGGACAAUGGGCGCAAGCCUGAUCCAGCCAUGCCGCGCGCGGGAAGAAGGCCUUCGGGUUGUAAACCGCUUUUGUCAGGGAAGAAAUCUUCUGAGUUAAUACCUCGGGGAGGAUGACGGUACCCUGAAGAAUAAGCACCGGCUAACUACGUGCCAGCAGCCGCGGUAAUACGUAGGGUGCAAGCGUUAAUCGGAAUUACUGGGCGUAAAGCGUGCGCAGGCGGUUUUGUAAGACAGAGGUGAAAUCCCCGGGCUCAACCUGGGAACUGCCUUUGUGACUGCAAGGCUUGAGUGCGGCAGAGGGGGGAUGGAAUUCCGCGUGUAGCAGUGAAAUGCGUAGAUAUGCGGAGGAACACCGAUGGCGAAGGCAAUCCCCUGGGCCUGCACUGACGCUCAUGCACGAAAGCGUGGGGAGCAAACAGGAUUAGAUCCCUGGUAGUCCACGCCCUAAACGAUGUCAACUGGUUGUUGGGGAAGGUUCCUUCUCAGUAACGUAGCUAACGC
Molecule: ribosomal RNA, 513 nt
Filed under: uncultured bacterium
Lineage: Bacteria
Description: partial 16S ribosomal RNA
Rfam family: Bacterial small subunit ribosomal RNA
Source: RNAcentral